This is a long non-coding RNA of Lycium barbarum (goji berry), 1171 nucleotides long. RefSeq lists it as uncharacterized. The transcript has 2 exons. The record is from RefSeq and is a predicted model, not a curated record. NCBI's taxonomy places the organism in Eukaryota, Viridiplantae, Streptophyta, Magnoliopsida, Solanales, Solanaceae.
GAUAUAAUAAGAGUUGUUCUACGCUGUGGCCCUCCAAAAUAUGCAGGUCGCAAUCAAAACAGGUGCCGAGAGAUCAUUGUUGUUGAGAAUCAGAAAAAAUAGUUUCUACUCACUUUAUGGGAGGACUUCGGAGAAAUUGAAGAAACUGAGCUGCAAGCUAAAAUGGGAAAGGAUGAAGAAUUCCUUGUAAUCCUUGGAAGGAAUAUAGGAAUAUCUUCUUAUUAGGGUAUGCACAUAUUAAAAUAUUUGACUUACAUAUUUUUAGUUAAUACAACACUACACAUACAUUGUGCCAUACACGUUUAUCACUGCAAACUAGAUUCAACUCAACAAUACACAUAAAUCGUACUUACCCACAGGCGUUGGAGCUUAUCAACUGGUACUGACUUUUCAGCUUUACUUUUUAACUUGCCCCUGAACAGCAUAUUGAAUACUUUAUUUGGUGUGAUGAUAGGGCAAAAACAAACAAACACAUGCUUGCUAGUUAUGCAUCAACCAGCUUCUCUGCGUCAUCAACGUCUCUCGCAGUAACUCCCACUCAGUAGCAAGUUAUCCCCAUUGCAGAAAUUUCAACACAAGACUUCAGUAAGUGUUUCACUUAUCUAGAUGUGAAUAGGUUUAUUCAUGAAACAAAAUAAUAUACAUCUGCUUUUCAUCUUCCUUGACAGAUUGGAAUUUUCUAUGUUGAGGCCAAAAUUUUUAUUUCAAAUGACCUGCAGAAAUUUUGCGUGCUUGAAUGUUCAGGAUGCAAACAAAAAAGAGCACGAAAGAAAGAAGAGAAUUUGAAUGCAGAAAGUGUAAUCGACAGACAACAUUAGUGCCUCGGCAUUGCGUUUUCACCAUACAUAUAAAUUUCAUCUCGACAAAAUAGAGCAUAUGUGUACAACUAUUAAACUCAAUAUGGUUGCAGGUGUACCUUCCAAAUUGAUCUUACUGAUGGCAGUGGGUCGAUUACAACAGUAAUUUCUGGAGUUAUAACCGAGAAGAUGCUCUCCAUGACAGCAGAACAUAUAUUUGAAACAACUUUGGUCAAUGUUGCCCCUUAUUUAUAUGUAGUAGUAUACUUCAUAUAUGUUUUUGAUUUGCUAUUUCUGCAAAAAUCAGCCACAACUAAAUCGUUUCAGCAUGCAAAACACUAUCUAUAUAAGCAUUCACAUCAGUUUCAUGCUUA